UAGGGAAUCUUCCACAAUGGACGAAAGUCUGAUGGAGCAACGCCGCGUGAGUGAUGAAGGGUUUCGGCUCGUAAAACUCUGUUGUUGGAGAAGAACAGGUGUGAGAGUAACUGUUCACAUCUUGACGGUAUCCAACCAGAAAGCCACGGCUAACUACGUGCCAGCAGCCGCGGUAAUACGUAGGUGGCAAGCGUUGUCCGGAUUUAUUGGGCGUAAAGCGAGCGCAGGCGGUUUCUUAGGUCUGAUGUGAAAGCCUUCGGCUUAACCGGAGAAGUGCAUCGGAAACCAGGAGACUUGAGUGCAGAAGAGGACAGUGGAACUCCAUGUGUAGCGGUGAAAUGCGUAGAUAUAUGGAAGAACACCAGUGGCGAAGGCGGCUGUCUGGUCUGUAACUGACGCUGAGGCUCGAAAGCAUGGGUAGCGAACAGGAUUAGAUACCCUGGUAGUCCAUGCCGUAAACGAUGAGUGCUAAGUGUUGGGAGGCUUCCGCCUCUCAGUGCUGCAGCUAACGCAUUAAGCACUCCGCCUGGGGGAGUACGACCGC
RNAcentral lists this ribosomal RNA (544 nucleotides) under uncultured bacterium. RNAcentral's name for it is "partial 16S ribosomal RNA". It matches the Rfam family "Bacterial small subunit ribosomal RNA", at positions 355 to 889 of the family's 1533-position model. The record is from RNAcentral.